CAUGUUGUCACAAAGUCUGACCAAACUAAAUUAGAGGUGCACUACAUCAAUACGGUGAAAGGACGUGGACUAUUUGCAAAAGGUUCCUUCUGCAAAGGAGAUUUUAUUGUGGAGUACAGGGGUGAAAUGAU
Long non-coding RNA from Sinocyclocheilus rhinocerous, 131 nucleotides. RefSeq lists it as uncharacterized. The record is from RefSeq and is a predicted model, not a curated record. Lineage: Eukaryota; Metazoa; Chordata; Actinopteri; Cypriniformes; Cyprinidae. The transcript has 2 exons.